UAAAUAUUAAACUUUAACUUUUUAAUUAAAAUUAACUCACUAUAGGCCUAUUGUAUUACUAGAAAGAGGGGCUAAAAUAAUGAAUUCCGUUAUGUUGGCUUAAUUGUUCAGUCAUGUAUAUAGUUGCUCAAACAAACGAAUGAAGAUGGCAUGAUCAUGAAUUAAAAUAUUAUGAUGAUAAAAAAUAUAUUAAUUUAUUAUAUUAUAAUUAUUAUAUCAAACCAAAAAGUAAAUUAAUGAAAGUAAGUAUAAUAAAACAACAAUAACACAUAAACAAAACACCCAACAUGCAGCUGAACAACAAAUUUCAACUAUCAAAUCAAUGACUAAUGCGUUUUAUGUUUAUAUUUUUAAUAGGAGAAAGCGAUGAUUUAAAAUUAAAAAAGAAGCGAGACGAUGAUGGCGGACUGUCUACGUAUUUUAAACCUCUACGAUUACGGGAAAAAAGAAGAAAAUUUAAAAAAUAAAAAUGACGACAUACAUGUAGGAAUAACCUUGUCAAUAAAUCAAUUCCAGAGGUUUACACUUAAAUCCUUCUGGUAGUUUGUUAUUACAAAACAAUUUUAAAUUAUUACUUAAAAAUUGACUAUGUGAAAAUGUGAGCGCUAAUUAAUUCUCAAGAAUCAUGUCUGGCACUUUUCCUAAUUGUGCAAAUACUAGGGGGUUUAAAAUGGCCUUACUUAAUAUAGCCAGCUUACCCAAACAUGUUGAUGAACUACGCAUAUCUAAACUCUUUUCGAAUUUUGAUUUAUUCGCUUUAAAUGAAACUAGAUUAGACAAUACCAGCCGAAUAUAAAAACAGCCGAAUAUAAGACCAAACAGCCGAAUAUAAAAAUAGAUCAAGACAAAAUUAAGCAAGUUCAGCAUAGUGGACUACUUGGGGUUGAAAUUGAUGAAAGAUUGUCUUGAAACAAGCAUGUUGAAAACGUAUCCAAAAAGGCUACUUCCGGCAUAGGGGCAAUAAGAAGAAUCCGAGAUUUUGUGGAUAGAGAAACCAAUUCCUGGGCAUUGGUUUUUCAACUCGACUUCAAAAAUUUCAGAAUAGAGCUCCAAGGAUAAUAAUGAGUAUGAAAAAUGAUACCCCUGGAUUAGAAGCAAUUUCUGCUUUAAAGUGGGAAACUCUUGAGUCUCAACGAACCAAGUCAAAAGCAAUUCAAAUGUAUAAAGUUUUAAAUGCAGCGAAAAUUGACGAGGCUAGCGGGUUGUUUUAAAUAAAGUUUACCUACCUACGUACCUACGCGUAUAUAUGCAUGUUUACUAAAUAAUCAUGCUACAGUCCUGGUUCUUUAAUUAUGUCAGAAACAGGUACGAUUUAAAUAUAAAUAUUACUAAGUAAGCCUGCGCCCCGCUGUGGUCUGAUUUGUUGACAAUAACAUGAUAUUUUUAAAUAAUUAUAUAUAGCUACAUGCAUGCAUGAAACAAAACAGGGAAAAAGUUAAUGAUAACGUUAAGUGUACAUAUCUUACUAUAGGCGGUGGGACAUGUCGGGAAGGG
Molecule: non-coding RNA, 1494 nt
Organism: Paramuricea clavata
Lineage: Eukaryota; Metazoa; Cnidaria; Anthozoa; Malacalcyonacea; Plexauridae
Source: the annotation of a GenBank genome assembly